GUGAGUCAUCGAAUCUUUGAACGCACAUUGCGCCCGGUAGUACUCUACCGGGCAUGCCUGUCCGAGCGUCAUUUCAACCCUCGGGACCCGUUUCGGCGGGACCCGGCGUUGGGGAUCGGCCGUCCUCCGCGGCGCGCCGGCCCCGAAAUACAGUGGCGGUCUCGUUGUGACUCCCCUGCGUAGUAGUAACAUUCUCGCAUGCGGAAUAGCGACGCGGCCACGCCGUAAAACCCCCAACUUUUACCAAGGUUGACCUCGGAUCAGGUAGGAAUACCCGCUGAACUUAAGCAUAUCAAUAAGCGGAGGA
This 307-nucleotide unclassified non-coding RNA is filed under the name Stilbocrea sp. RNAcentral describes it as "partial contains 5.8S ribosomal RNA, internal transcribed spacer 2, and large subunit ribosomal RNA". The stretch from base 1 to 71 matches the Rfam family "5.8S ribosomal RNA", at positions 84 to 154 of the family's 154-position model. The record is from RNAcentral. Lineage: Eukaryota; Fungi; Ascomycota; Sordariomycetes; Hypocreales; Bionectriaceae.